Molecule: ribosomal RNA, 1607 nt
Filed under: Salmonella enterica subsp. enterica serovar Bovismorbificans
Lineage: Bacteria; Pseudomonadati; Pseudomonadota; Gammaproteobacteria; Enterobacterales; Enterobacteriaceae
Description: partial 23S ribosomal RNA
Rfam family: Bacterial large subunit ribosomal RNA
Source: RNAcentral
ACUGUGUGUUGUUGGGUAGGGGAGCGUUCUGUAAGCCUGCGAAGGUGGCCUGUGAGGGUUGCUGGAGGUAUCAGAAGUGCGAAUGCUGACAUAAGUAACGAUAAAGCGGGUGAAAAGCCCGCUCGCCGGAAGACCAAGGGUUCCUGUCCAACGUUAAUCGGGGCAGGGUGAGUCGACCCCUAAGGCGAGGCCGAAAGGCGUAGUCGAUGGGAAACGGGUUAAUAUUCCCGUACUUGGUGUUACUGCGAAGGGGGGACGGAGAAGGCUAUGUUGGCCGGGCGACGGUUGUCCCGGUUUAAGCGUGUAGGUGUGUGUUCCAGGUAAAUCCGGUUCACUUUAACACUGAGGCGUGACGACGAGGCACUACGGUGCUGAAGCAACAAAUGCCCUGCUUCCAGGAAAAGCCUCUAAGCAUCAGGUAACAUCAAAUCGUACCCCAAACCGACACAGGUGGUCAGGUAGAGAAUACCAAGGCGCUUGAGAGAACUCGGGUGAAGGAACUAGGCAAAAUGGUGCCGUAACUUCGGGAGAAGGCACGCUGACACGUAGGUGAAGUGAUUUACUCAUGGAGCUGAAGUCAGUCGAAGAUACCAGCUGGCUGCAACUGUUUAUUAAAAACACAGCACUGUGCAAACACGAAAGUGGACGUAUACGGUGUGACGCCUGCCCGGUGCCGGAAGGUUAAUUGAUGGGGUCAGCGCAAGCGAAGCUCCUGAUCGAAGCCCCGGUAAACGGCGGCCGUAACUAUAACGGUCCUAAGGUAGCGAAAUUCCUUGUCGGGUAAGUUCCGACCUGCACGAAUGGCGUAAUGAUGGCCAGGCUGUCUCCACCCGAGACUCAGUGAAAUUGAACUCGCUGUGAAGAUGCAGUGUACCCGCGGCAAGACGGAAAGACCCCGUGAACCUUUACUAUAGCUUGACACUGAACAUUGAGCCUUGAUGUGUAGGAUAGGUGGGAGGCUUUGAAGCGUGGACGCCAGUCUGCGUGGAGCCGACCUUGAAAUACCACCCUUUAAUGUUUGAUGUUCUAACGUGGACCCGUAAUCCGGGUUGCGGACAGUGUCUGGUGGGUAGUUUGACUGGGGCGGUCUCCUCCUAAAGAGUAACGGAGGAGCACGAAGGUUGGCUAAUCCUGGUCGGACAUCAGGAGGUUAGUGCAAUGGCAUAAGCCAGCUUGACUGCGAGCGUGACGGCGCGAGCAGGUGCGAAAGCAGGUCAUAGUGAUCCGGUGGUUCUGAAUGGAAGGGCCAUCGCUCAACGGAUAAAAGGUACUCCGGGGAUAACAGGCUGAUACCGCCCAAGAGUUCAUAUCGACGGCGGUGUUUGGCACCUCGAUGUCGGCUCAUCACAUCCUGGGGCUGAAGUAGGUCCCAAGGGUAUGGCUGUUCGCCAUUUAAAGUGGUACGCGAGCUGGGUUUAGAACGUCGUGAGACAGUUCGGUCCCUAUCUGCCGUGGGCGCUGGAGAACUGAGGGGGGCUGCUCCUAGUACGAGAGGACCGGAGUGGACGCAUCACUGGUGUUCGGGUUGUCAUGCCAAUGGCACUGCCCGGUAGCUAAAUGCGGAAGAGAUAAGUGCUGAAAGCAUCUAAGCACGAAACUUGCCCCGA